GUGAAAUAUUCAUCAUCAGCAAAUCAAAUUCGAGUUAUAAAAACUACAUCUAAAUUUCAAGUGCUUUCCUCCAGUUUCCAAGAAAACAAAGCGAGAAGAAAAUGGCUUCCAACUCUGAGAAGGUGAGCUACCACGCUGGUGAGGCCAAGGGCCAAGCUGAGGUAAUUUUCUUCACCUAUUAUUCUCCAUUUUUUCCUGCAUUUUUUGUUGUUGAAUAUUACAUAAUUUAUGCGUGAAUGUGCAUUGAGAUUGAUGUAAUUUUUCAUUUAACAGGAGAAGGCGAGUGGGGUGAUGGAUAUGGCAAACAAUGCAGCCCAAUCUGCCAAGGAAACAAUGCAAGCGGCAGGCCAGAAUGUGCAGGCCGCGGCUAUAGGAGCUGCUGAUGCAGUCAAGAAUGCCACUGGCAUGAACAAAAAAUGAAGCUAGCUGCUCAUCAUGAUCUCAAUAUGAGCAUUUGCAGUUUUUUUUCUUUUUUUUUGGGAGCUUUCUAGUAGUUGCUUUUGAUUUCUGUCUUCUAAACAAGGGAGCUCUAAGUCCUCUGGAGUUCUCAUCAUCUGGGUGUGUACUUUCGUUCACACUUGGUUUUAGUUUUUGUUUUUGUUUUCUUUUUCUUUUUGUUCAUGUUUAUCUCCUUUGAACAAGGCAAGUGGGCUCUGCCUAUUGUAGUUCUCACCUAAUUGAAUCAUAAGCUGUUUUUAAUCCCAUCUAUAUGUUCAAGAUUGGUCUUUUGUUUAUGCAGAUGAGCAAAAUCCGACCUAAGAGUUUCUGAAAAU
Molecule: long non-coding RNA, 773 nt
Filed under: Prunus dulcis (almond)
Lineage: Eukaryota; Viridiplantae; Streptophyta; Magnoliopsida; Rosales; Rosaceae
Description: sRNA ncRNA
Source: RNAcentral